UGAACUGUCUAUUUUUAAUGGAAAACAAUAAUAGUACAAAAUGGGUAGAAACCUACAUUUCAAAAAAAAAAUCCUGAAAUUAUAUCUACAUGUAUGGUGACUCAUCCAUUGGUGAACUUUGAGUGCCCAAAUUCUUGAGCUGAUACCUAAAUAUUAACAAUAAGAGUGGUUGAUCACAUUUGACUGACACCAAACAAUUGAUAAGGAAUGAUUCUGAAGCCAAGUUUACCUUUGGCUGUAGAAAUGUGUUUUCAAAAUUCACUGCACAUGAUUAAAAACCAUAUGAAAACUUAUAAAGGAAAAUAUACAUGUAGUUUUAGAAGGUGUGGUCUUAUUCAAAUUCCCUGCCGUCUUUUACUGUUACGAUUCUUUUGUGACAUCUUUUCCAUUUGGGAUUUUUUCUUUACAGUCACCACCACUACGCCACAAGAUCACAGAAAUAAUGCUCAUCAUUACAUGGUGUCUUGAAAAUAUAGUUAUAUGAUAUAUAGAAAUAAACACAACAACCAUCAAGUGAGGUUAUUGCAUGCAUAAUGGUAUGAUUACUAAAUCAUAUUUCAGGUCAUAUUUCAGGAUUUAUCAAAAUCCAUAAAUAGCAUGAUUUGUAACUUUCUUUUCAAGUAAUAAUAUUAUAUUAAUGAUCAAAACAUUACUACAGAUUCAAUAUGACUUCUUUACAUAUAACAAUAUAAAAAUAGGAUGGCCUAUGCACUAAAAUACAUAGUCAACCAUUAUUUUUCUUGCACUUUUAACACUAAGUUUCUUUAAUUUCAUUUUGACAAACAAUGUCAAGCCUGCAAAUGAGUGCUAAGACAAGGGGAUUAAAUUAUGUUUACAAAAGUUGAUUUGCACAAACCCAAAACUAGUUUGGCAUCUCUAUAGGUGUGAUGACCCAGAGUUUGAGCAAUCCAUAUUCACUGACAACUGUUAUAAGCUACUGAAAUCCUUGCAUCUGAUUAGCUCAGAGCAAAGGUGUCUGUGCAAACCACCCACAAGAUGCUCUAUGAAAAACUUACCAGGGUCCUGUAACACAAAGCCUAGCGAUGAAUAGCAAAUAUGAGAGAACACUUCUGAUUGGUCCUGGUCAGUAUUUUACGCCAAAUGUAGGUGUAAUAUUGAUCUCGAUUGGUCAGUUUAUUUAGCGAUUGAUCGCUAAUCUUUGGGUUACAGAGCCCUGAUCACUUGAAGAGUUCCAUUUUGUCAAAACCAACUCGAUGAGUUGAGCCCUUUUGGCAUUACAAGCAAAUAUUGUUAUCAACAAAAUCAUGCUUGGAGAAGCUUUCAAACCAUCUUUUCCCAAGCCGAUUGCAAUGGCACAAAAAUUGUCAUCAAAUAUGAAAAACAAUACAAUAAACACUUUCAUCACUAUCUCAAUAUGCUUUGGAAAGCCUCUGAAAUUGUUUGUAUAGCUUUCAAAUCAUGCAAGUAUGUCUUUUGAUGGUUCCAAAACUUUGAAAUACGAAAAAUAUUUGAUACUUUGAAGCUGCCUUUAAUUUCUCACUGAUGUGGAUUUUACUCUUAAUGCUCUAUUUAGUUCUUUAUGACAGUGUGUUAACUUUGAUAUGUACUAUGUCAUAAACAUGUUUUAUUGCAUAGGCUUUGCCUCAUAUUUUGUUAAAUACAUGUAGGAGAAGCAUGAUGAAAAACAUCCACAGCACAAAUUUUUCUGAAACUGCUUCAACACGGGCCAAUUCAGAACCACAUGAAUUCAUUAUCAGCCCCAUUAAAGUCAAGAUGAUGGCUAUAUGCAUAGUAUGUCAGAUGGGCUCACACCACUAUAGCUACAUGUAAAUGUACAUCCCAGAACAAAAUGCAAUGUAAUUUGAAAUCAUUGAAACAUGAUUUGUACUGUAAAUCUUCAUCACAUAUUAUUUUGUUAGACGAUGUGCGAAAGACAAACUAAUCAUGGUGUAACUUUCCAUACACAAGACAUAUUCGAAUCAAUCGCAGCUCUUAGUAACUACUUAUUGGUAAGGUGAUAAGGACAUAGUAAAUAAGCACUUAAGGAUUAUUAUCAUUUUCUUGAUCACAUGUGAUCAGCCUUACCAGCAUACAAUGCAUGCACAAACUCAACACGAAGUUGUUGAGCAGACAACACCAUACAAUAGUAUUGAUUUCCCUGAUUGUAAUCCCAAAUAACUUUACAGAAAGAUUAACCUGAGAACUCCGGUCUCUGUAUGCCUGAUACAGGCAAAUAUACAAAUCAUUCAUUAUAUUAUAAGACAAAGAAAAAGAGACUUAAAGCCAACCACACACUACACAAUCUGACAGCAACCCAAAAUUUUAGAAAAAAAUAUGUAGCAUUGUAAUUAAAACAUUCAAAUAUGGAAAACUACGUUGGUCAAAGUACUAUAUCAUAGUAUGGAUGUUUUAAAGUUUUUAGUUAGACUCAAGGCAGCUGCGAGCGUGCUUGCACAGAUCCAUUACUGGCAUGAAAAUUAAUUUCUGAAGUGGAAAGAUGUCGUGUAAGUUAUGUGGUAGGGUUAGAUUGAAGCCGAUUUUACUAAAAAAUAUAUUUGAAAAUAUUUGCAUAACAAUCUUUUGAUUUCAUUACACUUAACAUGAGAGAAUUCUAUUGUCAUUUGCUAAGUCGGGGGGGGGGGGGGGGGGGGGUUUAAACGUGAAUAACAAUCACUCAUAAAUUCCUGGUUGGAAGCAGAAUAGCACAGCACAGCUAGGACCGAGAGGUAUGCUACUUCUACUACUGCAUGCUGCUACUACUGUUGCUACUACUUCUGCUACUACCACUGUGCACAGUAAAAAAUAAGAUUGUGCUAAAUAACUUUCACACAUAUUCAGCUACUUUCCCAUGAUUUAAAAAUUUUAACUAUCAAUGAAACAGCUCUAAGGUCUCGUAUCUGAUCAUGUAGUGUGUGUGCAGUGUACUCUGAUCACAUUUUACCCUGUUAUCAUUACAUCAACAAUCAAACUUUUGCUCUGAUUACAUCAACAGGAAAAUAUACAAACCUUGAACACUUGUAGAAAAAAAAUCGAUUGCAUUUACAAAUUCACUUCACAGUCAACUUUUGUACUGAAUUAGAGUGCAUAUUACAUCCUAACAAGAAAAAAAAUAUACACAUGAAAGACUACACAGAAAAAGUCUAACACUACAUAUGGCCAUCAUUGACUAUGUAGUAACAACCCAUGGUUGGCCGGGUGCUAAAACAAAUUCAGUUGGCUUUCUAAGCUGAAUAUUCUUAAAACUAUCUCAUCAUGCAAAAACUAAUUACACUCUGCCUUGUUAGGCAUAUAAGAUAAUACAUCAAAGAUGUAUUGGGGUACCGUAUACCACAAAGGUUAACAAUUAAUCAUACACUUGAUUGUACAUUGUAGUCAAUGCAAUCAAUCGUAGAUAUAUGAUCUAUGAUCAUUGCUAAGCUUUUUGUUACGGACCCCAGAUGCACUUUAUACAUAGCGAAUGUUUGCUUGCUCACCGGCACGUUCAGUGUACAUUUCCACACCCUGGGGACCAUUCUAUGCUCCUACUGCAUUUCUCAAAUGCUCAAAAUGUUGAUAAAACCACAUGUAGUUCAAACAUUAACAAUCGACCUUGGGCCCAUUCACAAAAGGGUAGAGAGUGGCAAAUGAAAAUCAUUGCCUUGCCGACUAAAAUGUGACAAUUGAAUUCUGAGAACCUUCCAAACAUUAUGGUACUCUGCUAUCACAAACAUUGGUAUCAUUAUCAACCAAAACUUACUGUACAUAGUUCUAAUGAAUUAAAGAAACUCUUUAAGUGUUGUCUUUCCCAAGGUAUAUUAAUUAUUUUCCACAAAUUCAUUUCUUUUCAUCAGUUGUUCCUUAAGUUAACUUCUACUGGUAGUUUCGAAUCCAUAAAAAGGUAAAUGCAUGGUUUUAUAACUCUUAUUUGAAUUUCAUACAUGAUUUCUGUAUUGUACUGGCAGACUUAUAAAAAAAUACAAUAAUGUCCUUCUCUAUAAAAAAUAGCUAUAGAAAUAAGAUCAGGGAAAAUUUCACAAUGAAAGAUCUUCAGACUCUCAGACGUCAUAUGACGACACAAGAAUACAAUUCACACUUUUUUCAUUUCCAUCACAUAAUUACGUCCGCAUUUUGAGGAUGAAAGACAUAUUUCUGAACGAUAUGAAUAUUACUUCUCUCUGCUGUGAAGGCGUAAGAUAAAAACAUGAGCUUUAUUUUAAUGAUAAAAUACUUUAAAAAUUUUGACAAGAGCACAUCCAUGUUGCUUUGGAUCCCUCCAGCACAGACCAGCACAAGCAUUGUCAGAAAAGAAAUUAUAUAACUUUUGGAGAUGUCUAUUACAAGUGUCUAUUCUGUCAUAUUGGAAUGACAGUUUAACACCCAUUAGCCUCACAAAGGCAGUUUCAUUAUUAAACAAUAUCUGACCACCUUCAGGGGCAACCUGAAACCAUACCUGUAUAAGAGUGCUUUAUGACAGACAUCGACUUAUUGUUCAAACAUGUAUUAUAUGUAAUGUGUACGUAGUUUGGUUUAGGUGUUGUUCUGCUCUGAAGUGCCUUGAGCAUCUAAUCAAGAUGGAAAGUGUGCGAUACAAGUCUUACAUGUAGUGUAUUAUCAUUAUUAUUAUUUAUUCAUGUUACAGGUAUAAUGAUGAAAAGAUAUGCACCCUCGAUAAGUAUUAUCAUAUUGUCGCAGUAUUUUAAUUUGUUGAAAAAAUAUGAAAUUGUUGCAUAUAAAUCAUUUCCCGAUUAACAAAUCAAUGAAUGAAAUUAUCAUUUUUUCUUGAAUUACCUCUUAUAAAUGGCUUGCAAGUGAUAAAAUCUUAAAGUAUUGUUUAUUGUUAUAUAAAAAAACUUUUUAAUAUUUUUUUCACAUUUUUAUUUUAAUCUACUAUUCUAUACAUUGCACAUCACUAAAAAGUUUUAAUCUUUAAACAACUAUUUCAUAUCACCGUAACCAAUCGUGUAUGCUCAUUUUAGUUACAUUUAUUUAGAGGCCCAAGGUUAUGUGAUUAGUUAUCGUCAACUAUGUAUUGCAAAACUAAUUGAUAUAUCAUCUCCCAUUUUGUCAACAAGGCUCAAAUACCAUGCUUUUAAAAAAUCUCAAUUUUGAAAAACAUUAUAAGAGACAGAUGUGAUAUUAUUAAUAAUCAUCCAUUGUGGAUUCAAUGACAAGAUACUAAAAUGUCAUCUUCAUAUGUGGUACCCACAAUGGGACAGUGCAUAAAUCUUCUAGAUGUUAUGAAUAAUGGCGCUGCUGGCUUACCAUAACCCUUUGCACACUGAUGUUGCACAUUCGUACAAUCAAAAUCAACAAUAGUAAUAAUUAGUUUCCUCCCCUACCUUCAAUAAUUAGUUUUCUUCCCUAACUUCAAAUUAGCAAGGCUAAUUAAAGGUGAUACUUCUUGGACAGCAUCUAUAUAGUAAUCAUAAGUAUCAAUGGUGCAAUAUGGAAAUCUUGAAUUAAAGAAAAUAACAU
This is a long non-coding RNA of Lytechinus variegatus (green sea urchin), 5415 nucleotides long. RefSeq lists it as uncharacterized. The transcript is spliced from 2 exons. The record is from RefSeq and is a predicted model, not a curated record. Lineage: Eukaryota; Metazoa; Echinodermata; Echinoidea; Temnopleuroida; Toxopneustidae.